GGCGCGCCUAAUGCAUGCAAGUCGAGCGACGCAUUUCUAGUUCGUAAGAACCGGAUCUGACGGAGCGGCGAACGGGUGCGUAACACGUGACCAAUCUGCCCCGAAGACCGGGAUAACCUUUCGAAAGAAUGGCUAAUACCGGAUACCCUCCGAGAACCGCAUGGUUCAUUGAGGAAAACUCAGGUGCUUCGGGAUGAGGUCGCGGCCCAUCAGCUUGUUGGUGAGGUAAUGGCUCACCAAGGCUAUGACGGGUAGCUGGUCUGAGAGGACGAUCAGCCACACUGGAACUGAGACACGGUCCAGACUCCUACGGGAGGCAGCAGCAGGGAAUCUUGCGCAAUGGGCGAAAGCCUGACGCAGCGACGCCGCGUGGGGGAUGAAGGCCUUCGGGUUGUAAACCCCUUUCAGGAGGGAAGAAAAUGACGGUACCUCCAGAAGAAGCCCCGGCCAACUACGUGCCAGCAGCCGCGGUAAUACGUAGGGGGCGAGCGUUGUCCGGAUUUAUUGGGCGUAAAGGGCUCGUAGGCGGCUUAACAAGUCGGCCGUGAAAACCCAGGGCUCAACCCUGGGACGCCGGUCGAGACUGUUAUGGCUAGGGUCCGGUAGAGGAGAAUGGAAUUCCCGGUGUAGCGGUGAAAUGCGCAGAUAUCGGGAGGAACACCAGUAGCGAAGGCGGUUCUCUGGGCCGGUACCGACGCUGAGGAGCGAAAGCGUGGGGAGCAAACAGGAUUAGAUACCCUGGUAGUCCACGCCGUAAACGUUGGGUACUAGGUGUGGCGUCUUUAUCAACGGAUGCCGUGCCGAAGCUAACGCAUUAAGUACCCCGCCUGGGGAGUACGGCCGCAAGGCUAAAACUCAAAGGAAUUGACGGGAGCCCGCACAAGCGGCGGAGCAUGCGGCUUAAUUCGAUGCAACCCGAAGAACCUUACCUGGACUUGACAUCACGGGAAAAACCUUGGAAACAAGGUGUGCGUAAGCGUCCGUGACAGGUGGUGCAUGGUUGUCGUCAGCUCGUGUCGUGAGAUGUUGGGUUAAGUCCCGCAACGAGCGCAACCCCUAUCCUAUGUUGCCAGCACGUCAUGGUGGGGACUCAUAGGAGACUGCCGGGGACAACUCGGAGGAAGGUGGGGACGACGUCAAAUCAUCAUGCCCCUUAUGUUCAGGGCUGCACGCAUGCUACAAUGGUCAGUACAACGGGCCGCGAUCUCGCGAGAGUGAGCUAAUCCCAUAAAGCUGGCCCCAGUUCGGAUUGGAGUCUGCAACUCGACUCCAUGAAGUCGGAGUCGCUAGUAAUCGCAAAUCAGCAAAGUUGCGGUGAAUACGUUCUCGGGCUUUGUACACACCGCCCGUCACACCACGGAAGUAGGCAACGCCCAAAGUCAGUGGCCCAACUCUUCGGAGAGGGAACUGCCUAAGGCGGGGUCUGUGACUGGGGUG
This 1437-nucleotide ribosomal RNA is filed under the name uncultured bacterium. RNAcentral describes it as "16S ribosomal RNA". It matches the Rfam family "Bacterial small subunit ribosomal RNA". The record is from RNAcentral.